AACCGAAAUCAAGUGUUGUGUGGU
Molecule: non-coding RNA, 24 nt
Filed under: Arabidopsis thaliana (thale cress)
Lineage: Eukaryota; Viridiplantae; Streptophyta; Magnoliopsida; Brassicales; Brassicaceae
Source: RNAcentral